ACCGGGUGCUGUGGCGGGUGCCUGUGAGCCAGUGUCUAGGCGGUAGAUUGGGGUGGAUGUAGUGAGGGGAGGAGUCCCGCUGCGGCCGGGCGUCCGUGUCAAGCGUUGCGACCGCCAGGAUCGUGCUGUAGGAGGAUGGCACCACCUAGGGUGGUCAAGGAGUGGUGUACGGCUCAGGAUCGAAAGGGAGCUGGCAAAAACUACCACUCCAGGCAGUGGGCGGAUAGCGCCCGGGAGUACCCGCUCUGCCGUUGCCUCUCCGAUACCUCCAGACCUCCAGUCGU
Molecule: non-coding RNA, 284 nt
Organism: Dictyocaulus viviparus (bovine lungworm)
Lineage: Eukaryota; Metazoa; Nematoda; Chromadorea; Rhabditida; Metastrongylidae
Source: Rfam